UACGUAGGGGGCAAGCGUUAUCCGGAUUUACUGGGUGUAAAGGGAGCGUAGACGGCGAUGCAAGCCAGAUGUGAAAGCCCGGGGCUCAACCCCGGGACUGCAUUUGGAACUGUGUGGCUGGAGUGUCGGAGAGGCAAGUGGAAUUCCUAGUGUAGCGGUGAAAUGCGUAGAUAUUAGGAGGAACACCGGUGGCGAAGGCGGCUUGCUGGACGAUGACUGACGUUGAGGCUCGAAAGCGUGGGGAGCAAAUAGG
RNAcentral lists this ribosomal RNA (253 nucleotides) under uncultured bacterium. Its description in RNAcentral is "partial 16S ribosomal RNA". It matches the Rfam family "Bacterial small subunit ribosomal RNA", at positions 524 to 776 of the family's 1533-position model. The record is from RNAcentral.